GGAAUUCAAUUCCGCGCCUGGACUGCUGCUCUGAAAAACCAGAGGCGGAUGCAGAGGGAAAGGGGGCGGUGAACAGAGCAGUCGACUUUAUAGCCGGGCAGCGGCAGAAGCGACAGGAGGUCCAACUUUUUUGCAAUUUGGCCCUUUUCGAGUUUUUUUCCCACAUUUAUGCCCCUGGCAGUUUCAUUUCAAAAAAUGGACCCUUAGCUCGGCGCCGUCAUCAUUGGCGCCGAGCUUGUGUGUGCCGGCGCCAAUACUAUUGGCGCUUAUACGUCAGACGCCGGUGUGAUCUGGAUUGACGUGGCACGUACCUCGGCGCCAUAGAUCUUGGCGCCGAGGUACGUGCCUAUAAAUAGUACCCUACGUCUGGCUUGUUGCUGUGCUCAUUUCAAUUCUUCUAAACUAGAGAUGUCUAGGCGUGGUAAAUAUGCUAAACAAAGGUAAGUUUUGGAUCUGCCUCUUAUUUUGUGAGUCUAUUAUAUUUCUGAUUGUUAUAGAGUUUAUGGAAAUUUAGGAAGGGUCCUUUGACCGGAACUGCCUUCGACCCGUUGCCUUUGCCAAGUGGUGUUCCAGUGCCUAUGUGUUUUUGUGGUGAUCCUUGUAAGGUCGAUAAGUCUGAAGAUCAUGACACCUAUCGACAGAGGUAUUGGAUGUGUGCUAACUUUGCAUUUGAGCCAACUGUUGUUCAACGUCGGAUGAAUUUAAUGGUGAGAAUAGUCUUGUAAUAUGUUUACAUUUGUGAAUGUUUUUGUAAAUGUUUUUUUGCGUACUAAUAAUUGCACAUUUUGUAGACUCCUCCACCGCUAUGUGAUUUUGAGCAGUGGAUUGACACCGAAAUAUCAGAGAAAGAUAAGAAGUGGCUGGAGAAUCUUCAAAAGUGGGAUGCAGAGGACAAAGAGAGGAUGAAAAACAUGUGCAAGAUCCAAGACGCGCAGUCUCCUGUGGCGUCUGGGAAGAGGACACAACCAAACAUGUGCAAGAUCCAAGCUCGACAAUAGAACUGGACUGUAGCCUCAUCAGCAUCAGCAGGGCACACACCAAAAGACUGACGGAGCCAUGUGAUGCCUACUCCAGCAGUCCGUUCAACGCCCUCAGCAGGAAGCUCCCUACCAAGAAAGGCCUCAACUCUAGCCCUCCAUCCGUCAGAGUCACAUUGGCCUGUCACUGCUCUGCCACCAACAUUGAGUCCAAGUAUCUUCUGUGCAUCCUCUAAUGUGACUGUCAUCUCACCAAAAGGAAGAUGAAAACUAUGUGUCUCAGGACGCCACCUACAUAAUUAAAAAAAUAGUGUAAAAGAGCUCAAUGAUUCAAGAAUAUUUUUAUAAAAUCAUAACAAUACCUGUCCACAAGUGCAGUAAUGGCCGCCGAAUCAAUAGUAGGCAACCCGCGUCGUAACUGGUAAGAUAUUACAUCUAGACCUGCUCGUCUGAGGUAAUUAGUGUACCUGUCGUCGAACACCAUGUCUAGGAACCCAUUGUGUGUCCUAGAACGAAGCGUUGCUAGGUCCUACACGGAAAAAUAUUAUAUAAGCAACACCAUUUGUACAACAACAAAUCUACAAAAGAUAUUUACAAUUAAAUACCUGGCCUUCCGACAGAAGGCGCCCCCGGUGGCUCUCGUCGUAGAACGGGUCGAGAAGGUGGAACUGUGCCAUCCUACAAAAUGAAAUUAAUGUUAGUAAGUAAUAUAGCCUUAUUAAAUAAAAUUAAGGUAGUAUCAUUAAACUAAAAAUACAAACCUCGCUAAUCUGCCAACGACAAGUGCGUGAAUUAUGACCAAGUCUACCGCACUUGCCACACUCAUACUGCUCGGGGUCGGUAAGAAAUGGUGUUCUCCUUCCCCUUCUACUCCUACCACCAACCUGAUCCAUAACCAUCUUGUGCCUCGUCCUCUUCCUGGAUCCACGCUUGGUCCAACGACUACUUGGAUCAGCGACAUAUUUUGGGCCAUCGUACGGAGGCCACUCACCCGCGUCACGAUAAGGAAUAAAUCUUGGACUCCAAGUCAACACUAGUUUAUCAAUAGUAAACUCUUGAGGUAUCCUCCUCUCUAAGUCAAAGUUACGAGCUCGAGCAGCUGCGAUUAGAUGAGAACAUGGAAAAUGGUAUUGCCUGGGUGCGCCACAAGUACAUGACAAGUCAUUAAGGACAACCACAUGCUUCCUCGACUCUUGUGACUCGCCGUCAGAAGUAGUACCAGCUUGAAGGAAUACCUCAUAUGUCCCUGACUGUAAGUCAAAACAAUCAACAGUGUGUGUGUGUUUGCCCUUUCCUUUGCCUUCUCUAGAAAGGUCUUAGGCUUUGGAGCCCAUCUCUCUCCCUCAUUCUGCAAUCCAACUGCGUGGGUGUGUCUAUCAUUGAACCAUGCCACAAGCUUGUAAAAGGUAAAUGUCACUAUAGCAGUGACCGGCAUACCACGUAUGCCCAACAAUAAUUUGUUGAAUGACUCGGCCAUGUUACUACACUGGAACUCAUAUCUCCAUCCACCUAAGUCGUGAGCUCUCGUCCACUUCUCCAAAUCCGGCAUCAAUCCAUUCAACCAAUCUCUACCUUCGGCAUUUGUUGCGACUUUGAGCUUUUCUAACUUUUCUCUAAAGAACUUGUCUUCCAGCUGUCGACAUGUCUCCUGGAAAAGCUCAAAGUUAUCCUUGACACCAUCCUUACGCAGAAGAUUCUCAGCAAGGUGUCGAGUACACCACCUGUGAUGCAAAGGAGGGUACCCAUCGAUCUGCUCACGGACCGCGUUGAGUAUUCCCUGGUGCCGAUCUGAUAUUACACCAACUUCCCGUCCUGGGCCAACCACAUGUAUCCGGACCAGUCGCAGGAACCAGCCCCAACUGUCUUUGUUCUCUUUCUCUACCAGAGCAAAUGCUAGGGGAACUAGCUUGUUGUUUGCAUCAACGGAUAUGGCAAUUAGAAGAGUGCCCUGGUACUUGCCGAGAAGAAACGUGCCGUCAAUUGAAAAGACAGGACGACAAUGCCGGAAGGCAUCCACACACUGGGGAAAGCACCAGAACGCACGGAAGAAUAUCUGUCUCCCAUCAAUCCAUGCAUUUGGUUUAGGGAUGUACUCAUAAUGCAUGCCUGGAUUGACCGCCUUCAUUGCAUUUAAAAGAACAGGUAGCCGCUCGUACCCAGACUCCCAGUCCCCAUAUAUCAUCUUCCACGCACACUGCUUAGCCCUCCAAGCUUUACCAUAUGUUAUCUUGUACCCAUCAAACACAUUCUCCACGAUCCUCAUGAUUGUCCUAACCUUCAUAUUUGGUUCCGACUGCAGUAUUCCCAUAAGUCGCUUCCCAAUGAGGGUUGAUGUCAAUUGGCGAUGUUUCAUCGUUAACUCAUGUUCAGCACAUGUGUGUGGCCCCACUACUUUUGUUAUCUUCCACUUUGCGGUGAUCUUUUGAAUCCUAGCACAAACCCUCCAUGAACAGUUGUCCUUGUCGCAUACAACCGUGUAACGACGUUUCUCGUACGAAUGAAGUACUCUAUACGGCCUCUUACGUAAGACUGCAUAAUGCUGCAACCACCUCUUCAAUGCAGUUAGGUCCUUGAAGACCCUACCCUUUUCAAUCAUCAUGCUAGGACCGGCCUCAGGAGCGUCAAGCAGCUCAUCAUCCCUGCCCUCUGCAUUUGCCUGAUGAGAAAGACUAAGAUCGCUGAACUCAUGCACUCUAGGAUCCCGACCGUCUGGAAAAACACGUUGCAACAUCUCAAUGUCACUCUCUGUGAGUUCACCAACCGGGCGAUCAUCAUCUGAAUCGGCAGCCAUAGCAAAGGCAUAUGGCUCCUCUUCAUUCCUAAUCUCAGGACUGUUGGAGGCAAUAAAACCAUCACCGAAGCAGCCACGUGCCUCAGUCUGAGGAUCAACCACAAGAGUAGGAGUCUCUCCUGCAACAUGUACAAGAUGAUCAGUCCCACGUCAAAUGGAAUGAGCAAAGUGCUCAUGGUCCAAAAUGAAGAUGUAAUGCCAAUAAGACUUACUGCAAUUGGUUUGUGCCAAAGGGAUACACGCAGCUAAAUCUGUCUGCAGACCAUCUCCUGGCUGACUUAAUGGGAUCAAAUUGGGGCCAGAUUGAGCAUCAGGAACAGUUGGCACGUCAUCGAUAGCACGAUCAAAGUCUUCAGGGGGACGGUCUACUACAACCGGACGCACCACAACCUCCAUGAGUUGCAAAUGGGUCUUCAUAGCCGAAGUAAUAUAAUUAUCCCAAUCCAGUUGACAAUCAAUUGGGAUGACUCGUCUUAUGACAUUUGGUGGAUGACCGAUAUUAAGCACUCCGUCAACCGCAAUGUCAUCAUCUUCAUGGUAACCGAGCUUUUGUUUAGCCUUUGUAAACAAAUCACUCAAGGAGGGUCUACCAUCGAAUAGUACCGGCACGUGUCGCAUGUCAAUGAACUUGGCAUUUCCAUACGGAUCUUGUUCCACAUUGCCUCCAUGAUAUAAGCUCAAAAAAUUGUCCAUCUAUUUGAAACACCAAUUAAACAUUCAAUAUAAAAUGUGGAUGGUUAUUACCUAACCACAACACACUAAUUACUAGCUACAUAACUAUAAAUAUAACCACAACCCACUAAUAGACUAACCACCUUAUAAAUUACUCAUAUAUAAUAAUUGAAAAUUUUGACAGCACCUCCCCUACACGGGGAGGAUAAAAAACAUGCACAUUUGACUCACUUUCAUAAUAUUCAUUCAAAUUUGCAUUUAUCACAAUAACUCAUAUUCAUCACAUUCAAAAAACAACUAAUUAUAGCAAAACAAUCUAACAUAUUUAACACUAAAUGCUAACACAAUAACAAAAAUAAUCAAAAAUUUACCUUAACGGUCGGGGUCGGGGUCGGGGUUGGACGACGACGACGCGGGCGGGGAGCGGGCUCCAGGGCGGGGCGGCGUGUCGCCGGCCGGUGUAUGGGCGCGGGCGGGGAGCGGGCUCCGGGGCGGGGCGCGUGUCGCCGGCUUGGUGCGCCGGCGGGGAUGGGGCGCGGUCGGGGCUCGACGUUGGGGCGGCGGCCUUGGCGGUGUGGGCCGGCGGCCUUGGCUGGAAGGGGGCGGGGCGCUUGCCGGGGGAGGGGCGGGGCGGGACGGCGCGCCGGCGUCGAGCAGGGGGCGGCGCGGGCGGCCUCCGGUGGUCGCGGCCGCCGUGGAGCAGGGGCGGCGCGGACGGGCUCCGGUGGGCGCGACCACCGUGGAGCAGGGGCGGCGCGCAAACUCCGGUUGGCGCGGGCGUCGGCGAGCGUCGGCGGCGCGAGGGGCAGAGGGAUAGAAGGCCGACGGCGCGGUUUGAAAAUUUUGGUUGAAACUCGGGCGGCUCAGAAUAUAAGGGGUCGGCGCCAUAGAUCUUGGCGCCGACCCCUUGGUACGAAUUUUGCAGACGCGGGGGCGGCGGCGCAGAUGCCAGGAGGUCGGCGCCAAGAUCUAUGGCGCCGACCCCCUGACACGUCGGCUGCCAGGUCAGAUUGUCCGGCGUCAAUAGUAUUGGCGCCGGCACACACAAGCUCGGCGCCAAUGAUGACGGCGCCGAGCUAAGGGUCCAUUUUUUGAAAUGAAACUGCCAGGGGCAUAAAUGUGGGAAAAAAACUCGAAAAGGGCCAAAUUGCAAAAAAGAUGGACAGGAGGUAGAAGGAGACUAGGAGCUCCGCUCGAGGGGAGCGUGAUGCGUGCUACAGUAUACCGCCACAGUUUAGCAAGAGGAAAUCCAGUUCAACGGAGCGGGUUAAAAAAAGAGAGCGGAGGAGGGGAAGCAGCGGGGGAUGUGGAGCUCGAGCGUUGGUUGGGA
RNAcentral lists this long non-coding RNA (5770 nucleotides) under Zea mays. RNAcentral describes it as "long non-coding RNA (ZMAY_LNC005203)". Lineage: Eukaryota; Viridiplantae; Streptophyta; Magnoliopsida; Poales; Poaceae. The record is from RNAcentral.